Molecule: ribosomal RNA, 599 nt
Filed under: Streptomyces sp.
Lineage: Bacteria; Bacillati; Actinomycetota; Actinomycetes; Kitasatosporales; Streptomycetaceae
Description: bacterial SSU rRNA
Rfam family: Bacterial small subunit ribosomal RNA
Source: RNAcentral
GCAAUCUGCCCUUCACUCUGGGACAAGCCCUGGAAACGGGGUCUAAUACCGGAUAACACUGCGGAUCGCAUGGUCUGCGGUUAAAAGCUCCGGCGGUGAAGGAUGAGCCCGCGGCCUAUCAGCUUGUUGGUGGGGUGAUGGCCUACCAAGGCGACGACGGGUAGCCGGCCUGAGAGGGCGACCGGCCACACUGGGACUGAGACACGGCCCAGACUCCUACGGGAGGCAGCAGUGGGGAAUAUUGCACAAUGGGCGAAAGCCUGAUGCAGCGACGCCGCGUGAGGGAUGACGGCCUUCGGGUUGUAAACCUCUUUCAGCAGGGAAGAAGCGAAAGUGACGGUACCUGCAGAAGAAGCGCCGGCUAACUACGUGCCAGCAGCCGCGGUAAUACGUAGGGCGCAAGCGUUGUCCGGAAUUAUUGGGCGUAAAGAGCUCGUAGGCGGCUUGUCACGUCGGAUGUGAAAGCCCGGGGCUUAACCCCGGGUCUGCAUUCGAUACGGGCAGGCUAGAGUGUGGUAGGGGGAGAUCGGAAUUCCUGGGUGUAGCGGUGAAAUGCGCAGAUAUCAGGAGGAACACCGGGUGGCGAAGGCGGAUCUCUG